GCCUUCGUGGUGCAGUGGUCAGCACACUCGGCGCGUAUUCGAAAGGUCCGUGGUUCGAGUCUCGGCGAGGGCA
Stegodyphus mimosarum is the source of this 73-nucleotide non-coding RNA. Lineage: Eukaryota; Metazoa; Arthropoda; Arachnida; Araneae; Eresidae. The record is from Rfam.